Molecule: long non-coding RNA, 232 nt
Organism: Crotalus tigris (Tiger rattlesnake)
Lineage: Eukaryota; Metazoa; Chordata; Lepidosauria; Squamata; Viperidae
Exons: 3
Source: RefSeq, a predicted model, not a curated record
AUUCUUCAACAGUGCCUCUGCUACAUAUUCUGCAGACAGUGGUAUGCCUCAAGGACUGUCACCAUGUUCCAGCUCUAGAAGGGGUGACCUAAAGGCCAGGAUAACCUGUGACUAGGUCAUACUAAAAAUGACAUUUCCCACAUUUUCUCCAAGAGCUCAGAUAUCAUCAAAGCCUUUACCAAGCAUGAUUCAAAAACUGUGACGCUUUCAUCUAAACAGCUUGAGCAUUCCG